AGGGCUUUAGGUUAAUUAAACCAAAGGUUUUCAAAGCCUUAAAUAAGAAGGAUUCUUAAGCUCUG
Molecule: transfer RNA, 65 nt
Filed under: Phasianella australis
Lineage: Eukaryota; Metazoa; Mollusca; Gastropoda; Trochida; Phasianellidae
Description: tRNA-Trp
Source: RNAcentral